AGGAAACAUACCGGCUAUAAAUAGAGAGCUUGGGCUUCUCACCCAACAAUAACCCUCUAAUCAGAAGAAGAAAGAAGAAAGUAACAACAGCCAUGGCCAAAAGCAGUUCAAUUUUCUUCUCCUUGUUCAUUUGCUUCAUCCUCAUUUCCUUUGUCACCUUUGCUCCAUCGGCUGAAUCACAAGCUCAAUCUUGCGAUUACGGCCAAGCUCAAGCGAUAGCACGAGACAACUGCAAGGGUCAAGAUACAAGUUUCUGUCAGGCGAAAUGUCAAGGCUUGUCAACCGCAUUAGUACUUGGUGGUUGGGGGUGCGAGGAAAAUGCUUUAGAUGCAACCAACUCUUACUGUGUCUGUUGCUAUGAGCUUGAUAUUUGUGACAGUGGUUCUUGGUUUUCAUCCAAACUUCUCUUUAAAGGCCUCAGGCAGUAAGAUCAAAAUCAGUUGAUCUAGUCUAGUUGCCCCUAGCUAGCUCAAUAGUCGUUUAGCACUAGGGCUAAAUAAUGCAUCGAUCGCAACCAUUUCUGGUGUCUUAUGUAUCACUGGUUUAGAUGUUGGUAUGGUAUUUGGAUUGUCACCGAAUUAAGUUACGGAUUAGGGGUUUGGGUGCAAUCAUCAGUCUGUUGUUUCAUUUAUAAAAGAUUAUCUAAUGAAAAGCGGGAAAUCCUUUAUUUGUUAUUGUA
Molecule: long non-coding RNA, 679 nt
Organism: Papaver somniferum (opium poppy)
Lineage: Eukaryota; Viridiplantae; Streptophyta; Magnoliopsida; Ranunculales; Papaveraceae
Exons: 2
Source: RefSeq, a predicted model, not a curated record